This 158-nucleotide ribosomal RNA is filed under the name Peziza varia. Its description in RNAcentral is "5.8S ribosomal RNA". It matches the Rfam family "5.8S ribosomal RNA". Rfam says of the family: 5.8S ribosomal RNA (5.8S rRNA) is a component of the large subunit of the eukaryotic ribosome. It is transcribed by RNA polymerase I as part of the 45S precursor that also contains 18S and 28S rRNA. Functionally, it is thought that 5.8S rRNA may be involved in ribosome translocation. The record is from RNAcentral. Lineage: Eukaryota; Fungi; Ascomycota; Pezizomycetes; Pezizales; Pezizaceae.
AAACUUUCAACAACGGAUCUCUAGGCUCUUGCAUCGAUGAAGAACGCAGUGAAAUGCGAUACGUAAUGUGAAUUGCAGAAUCUCGUGAAUCAUUGAAUCUUUGAACGCACAUUGCGCCCUUUGGUAUUCCAUAGGGCAUGCCUGUCUGAGCGUUAGUA